Molecule: ribosomal RNA, 468 nt
Filed under: uncultured bacterium
Lineage: Bacteria
Description: partial 16S ribosomal RNA
Rfam family: Bacterial small subunit ribosomal RNA
Source: RNAcentral
GACGAACGCUGGCGGCGUGCUUAACACAUGCAAGUCGAACGGAAAGGCCCUGCGUUUGUGGGGUGCUCGAGUGGCGAACGGGGGAGUAACACGCGAGUAACCUGCCCUUGACUGUGGGAGAACUUCAGGGAACUGGGGCGAAUACCGGAUAGGAGCUCCUGCUGCACGGGGGGGGUUGGAAAGUUUCGGCGGUGGGGGAUGGAAUCGCUGCUUAUCAGCUUGUUGGGGGGGUAGGGGCUUACCAAGGCUAUGACGGGUAGCCGGCCUGAGAGGGUUACCGGCCACCUUGGGCCUGCGAUACGGCCCAGUCUCCUACGGGACGCAGCAGUGGGAAAUCUUGCGCAAUGGGCGGACGCCUGAUGCAGCAACGCCGCGUGCGGGAUACCGGCCUUCGGGUUGUAAACCGCUUUCGCCUGUGCCGAAGCGUGCGUGACGGUAAUGGGUAAAGAAGCCCCGGCUAACUACGUG